UGGGGAAUUUUGGGACAAUGGGGCGAAAGCCUGAUCCAGCAAUGCCGCGUGUGUGAAGAAGGCCUUCGGGUUGUAAAGCACUUUUGUCCGGAAAGAAAUCCUUGGCUCUAAUACAGUCGGGGGAUGACGGGUACCGGAAGAAUAAGCACCGGCUAACUACGUGCCAGCAGCCGCGGUAAUACGUAGGGUGCAAGCGUUAAUCGGAAUUACUGGGCGUAAAGCGUGCGCAGGCGGUUUGCUAAGACCGAUGUGAAAUCCCCGGGCUCAACCUGGGAACUGCAUUGGUGACUGGGCAGGCUAGAGUAUGGCAGAGGGGGGUAGAAUUCCACGUGUGAGCAGUGAAAUGCGUAGAGAUGUGGAGGAAUACCGAUGGCGAAGGCAGCCCCCUGGGCCAAGUACUGACGCUCAUGCACGAAAGCGUGGGG
RNAcentral lists this ribosomal RNA (425 nucleotides) under uncultured bacterium. Its description in RNAcentral is "partial 16S ribosomal RNA". It matches the Rfam family "Bacterial small subunit ribosomal RNA", at positions 355 to 766 of the family's 1533-position model. The record is from RNAcentral.